RNAcentral lists this transfer RNA (84 nucleotides) under Caerostris extrusa. RNAcentral describes it as "tRNA-Sec". It matches the Rfam family "Selenocysteine transfer RNA". The record is from RNAcentral. Lineage: Eukaryota; Metazoa; Arthropoda; Arachnida; Araneae; Araneidae.
AUCCAGAUGCGCGCCAGUGGUCUGGUGUGGGGCUUCAAACCCGUAGCUGGUGAGAAUCAGAGUGGUUCGAUUCCACCUUCUGGG